Molecule: non-coding RNA, 722 nt
Filed under: Diaphanes pectinealis
Lineage: Eukaryota; Metazoa; Arthropoda; Insecta; Coleoptera; Lampyridae
Source: RNAcentral
UUAAAGUUUAAUUUUGGUUUAAAUAUUUGAUUUAUUAUUAUUCUAUAUGUAUAAUUUGUUAAAAAUUUAUUUUCAGUAGUUAUUUUUAUUAAAUUGUUAAUUUAAUUUUAGUAAUUAAUAUAUAGGUCUAAUUUAAUUUGUGCCAGCAAUUGCGGUUAGACAAAUAGUUCAAUUAAAUAUUUUUGGUUAUAAUAAAUUAUUUAUUUUUUAAUUAAAAUUUUAAGGUGAAAUUUAAAUUUUAUUUUUUUAUGAGAUAAUGAUUUAAUAAAUUUGUAUUAUAAACUAGGAUUAGAUACCCUAUUAUUACAAUAAUAAGUUAAUUUCUUAGUUAGUAUUAGUUAUAUUCUUUAAAGUUAAAAAAUUUGGCGGUAUUUUAUUCAGUUUAGAGGAACCUGUCCUGUAAUUGAUGAUCCACGAUAUAUUUUACUUAUUUUUACUUGUAUAUCGUUGUUAAUGAAUUUCUUUUUAGGGAAAAUUUUCUUUUAUUUUAAUUAAAGUAAAUUUCAGAUCAAGGUGCAGUUUAUAAAUAAGUAGAGAUGGGUUACAAUAAAUUUAUUUUUGGUUAUUAGAUUUAGAUUUUUAUUAUAAAUUGGAUUUAAUAGUAAUUUUAUUCAUUUAGGUAAAAUGAUUAUUGUUAUAGAAUAUGUACAUAUUGCCCGUCGCUCUCUGUAUUUGAGAUAAGUCGUAACAUAGUAGAUGUACUGGAAAGUGUAUCUAGCAUA